Molecule: ribosomal RNA, 253 nt
Filed under: uncultured bacterium
Lineage: Bacteria
Description: partial 16S ribosomal RNA
Rfam family: Bacterial small subunit ribosomal RNA
Source: RNAcentral
UACGUAGGUGGCAAGCGUUGUCCGGAAUUAUUGGGCGUAAAGCGCGCGCAGGGGGUCCUUUAAGUCUGAUGUGAAAGCCCACGGCUCAACCGUGGAGGGUCAUUGGAAACUGGAGGACUUGAGUACAGAAGAGGAGAGUGGAAUUCCACGUGUAGCGGUGAAAUGCGUAGAUAUGUGGAGGAACACCAGUGGCGAAGGCGGCUCUCUGGUCUGUAACUGACGCUGAGGCGCGAAAGCGUGGGGAGCAAACAGG